CUACCUUUGCACCCGAAUGGUGAUUCAAAAAUACCUCAUUGGCUUGGGGUAGAAUUGAAAAGGGAAUCCGGUGCAAAUCCGGAACUGAGUCCCCAGCUGUAAGUUCCUGUAACUUAGAUUUUGCACAGCAUAAGUCAUUUUUUCCGAAUAGGAAAAGAGAAGACAAGCAAAAUCGGAACAAGUCAGAAGACCUGCCAUCGACAACUCUAUUUG
RNAcentral lists this non-coding RNA (213 nucleotides) under Bacteroidetes oral taxon 274. Lineage: Bacteria; Pseudomonadati; Bacteroidota. The record is from RNAcentral.